This 88-nucleotide transfer RNA is filed under the name Candidatus Azosocius agrarius. Its description in RNAcentral is "tRNA-Ser". It matches the Rfam family "tRNA". From Rfam's summary of the family: Transfer RNA (tRNA) molecules are approximately 80 nucleotides in length. Their secondary structure includes four short double-helical elements and three loops (D, anti-codon, and T loops). Lineage: Bacteria; Pseudomonadati; Pseudomonadota; Gammaproteobacteria; Candidatus Azoamicaceae. The record is from RNAcentral.
GGAGAGAUGGCCGAGCGGCUUAAGGCGCUCCUCUGCUAAGGGAGUAUGGAUGUUCAUUCUAUCGUGGGUUCAAAUCCCACUCUCUCCG